This 437-nucleotide ribosomal RNA is filed under the name uncultured Actinomycetales bacterium. RNAcentral describes it as "bacterial SSU rRNA". It matches the Rfam family "Bacterial small subunit ribosomal RNA", at positions 342 to 791 of the family's 1533-position model. Lineage: Bacteria; Bacillati; Actinomycetota; Actinomycetes; Actinomycetales. The record is from RNAcentral.
CGGGAUGCAGCAGUGGGGAAUAUUGGGCAAUGGACGCAAGUCUGACCCAGCGACGCCGCGUGCGGGAUGAAGGCCUUCGGGUUGUAAACCGCUUUCAGCAGGGAAGAAGCGAAAGUGACGGUACCUGCAAAAGAAGCACCGGCUAACUAUGUGCCAGCAGCCGCGGUAAUACAUAGGGUGCAAGCGUUGUCCGGAAUUAUUGGGCGUAAAGAGCUCGUAGGUGGUUCGUCACGUCGGAUGUGAAAAUCUGGGGCUCAACCCCAGACCUGCAUUCGAUACGAGCGAGCUAGAGUUUGGUAGGGGAGACUGGAAUUCCUGGUGUAGCGGUGGAAUGCGCAGAUAUCAGGAGGAACACCAAUGGCGAAGGCAGGUCUCUGGGCCAAUACUGACACUGAGGAGCGAGAGCGUGGGGAGCGAACAGGAUUAGAUACCCUGGU